RNA transcript from Dalotia coriaria, 1580 nucleotides. RefSeq lists it as uncharacterized. NCBI's taxonomy places the organism in Eukaryota, Metazoa, Arthropoda, Insecta, Coleoptera, Staphylinidae. The transcript has 4 exons. The record is from RefSeq and is a predicted model, not a curated record.
CACUGUGCUUGACGUUGACGCCAUUUUUGCACGCCAGUAUACAUUCGUCCGUUGUGGGGCAUGUUGCUUGUUGUUUUCUUCAUAACUUUGUGUUCUUAUAAACAACGCGGUUUGUGUUUAGUUUGUGCGUUAAACUAAAGUUUUGUAGCGUGAUUUAUCCGUUUUAUAUGUGAAUUAUCUCAAAAUAGAUGUGAUUGUCAAGAUUUCACGAAACGAACAUUGUGCACACAUUGUGGACUUUAUCUUCGCCGGUUUUGAUGAUGUAGUAUCAUCAUUAGACUCUGGGCUUAACCAGCUCAAAGUGCUGUACUGGAAUAGUCACAGCACACAUCGAAAUAUCUAUCAACAUGUCUUCGAUUUACGGUUUUGCAUAACUGUGCUUCCUUUGAUUACCCUUUGCCUCGGUAAGUUGUUAAAUAUUAUUACAUCAUUAUCACAUUGAUGUCUUUAGUCGCGUGUAAGAGAGUACCGUAAUAGUCGUAAGUCAAAAUUGUCGCAUGCCGUCGGUUGCGUUUUCGAUCUUGCCUGAGAAUGUGGUUUUCACCGUUAUUCUCAGCUCUUAUUGUUCUUUUGCAUUCAAAAUACUGUAAUCGCAUUGACGCGUUUAAAAACGAUUUCAAUAUCUUACCGCAAAUCGUGUAUCAUGCCGUUGGUCAGCACUUUUCUAUGGUUGGCAUGGCAAAGAAAAUCUCAAUAUGCAAUAAAAUUCAUUAUGGUGUUUUAUUGUUAUAAAAAAAAUUUAUAUAUAUAUAUCAUUAUCCUACCUUCUCUACUUUUACUUUUCUUAGAUAUUUUCUCCCCUUUGGAAUGUAUUAGUAGUUGGUAGUUGUAUUUCUGUUCUGUUGCCUUCUUUUCACUUUCCUUUGAUAUUCGUUGGGAAAUUUGUAAAAUUUUGUAGUUGUUAAUUUUGUUGAUUAUUUUUUGCGAUUUUUUUUAAAUGCAUAGUCUCAUUUUCCUUUUUGCAACAUCCUGUAUAUAGGCUUUUCUUGAUCAACAAAAAUUUAUAAAAAUUGAUCUUUUUGUAUGUUUUGAUCAUGGGAUUUUAUAUUAAAUGUUUAAAUUUUCCUUAUGUAUCACCCUGUAUAUUUAUUUCCUGAUUUGCAGUCAGUACUUGACUACAUUUGUUUCUUCCAGUUGUUUUCUCCUUGAUCGUAGUAUUUUAUUUUUAAAUCUAGUAAUUUUCCUUUUGUGUCACCCUGUACUCGUUUUUCUUCAUUCUCAAUCUGUCACUGACCAAGUUUGUUGUCCGGGUGUUUUUUAUUUUGAACUUUAUAUUUUCUUUCUGUAUCACCCAGUAUAUCACUUUUCCUUAACAUCCUCGUUCAUAUGGGGAAAAUUUAUUGUUAUAGUGUAUUGCUCUUUUUUUAAUCAUUGGUUUUCUUUUUGUAACACCCUGUAGAUUAGUUUUCCUGUAUUUAAUUGCUAUUUCAUAAUCCUGUAGUAUGUUGGUGUUUAUAAUUUGGUACUUAUGUGCAUAUGUGAUAUGCAGGUCGUAAGACUUGUUUCAAGAUGGCGGCCUGAAAUUUGUAGGUAUUUUACAUUCUGUUAUUAAAUUUGUUAAUAAAGAAAUGUUAAAAGAG